GGCAGACGGGAGAGGGGCAGGCGGGGAGCAGCAGCCUUUACUUCCUCCCGCACUGCUGGCCGCGUCUUGGCCGCCCGCUGUGCAGCCGUGGGGCUUCCCUUCCUCCGCUCAUGACGGCGUUACACUCCCAAGCUCUGUCCAGCCCGCCGAUCUCAGGGAGUCAGACAGCAAGCCCACGACCAGUCCGGCACCUCAGCCCGGCCUUCGAGGUUAUCCUGGUCCUAAAUAAACGCACGCCAGGUGCGAGAAGCCCCGUUGCUAGGUCUGCUCAUUCUCACCCCUGCCAUUCCGUUUUCAGCUGGAGACCUUAGCCGAGUCAGCUACCCAAACAUGGGAUCGGAGCUCUACCCAGCGGCCCUACAGUGAUUUCGGGAAGUGCCCUGUGCACAGCGCCUUGGGACCAAGACGCAACGGUGUUCUGUAGUGAUUAACAGUCGCCUUAAACAAUCUAGACGCCAGAGCCACCUCGCCCACCACAGAAUUCCGUCAGCUCUUCAUACAGAGCUACUUGCCAAGCAGCCGCAGAGGGGCGAUAGCAAGGAGGGAAGGAGAGAUACUCCAUAUUGGGUACUCAAGCAUCUUAGUUCCUUGAACAAGAUAGAUAAAACCUGUCCUGAACACUGUUUGCCAGGGGACCCGCUCACACAAACACACAGCCCUCCUCCUGGAGGGAGAAAUAAAUCCAGAGGAAAGAGGAAGUCAGACAGUUGGCCUAGAUGAGUCUCCAUUCACUCUCUUAACAGUUCUUGCCCUCAGAGAAAAGUAAGAUCUGGUUCCUGUCCUCAUACAACCUAGUAGAGAAGAGAUGUUUCGGAAAUAACCUCAGUGCCUAGCAGUAUGUGGGUCUUACUCUGUCUCCCAGGCUGGUGUACACUGGCACAGUCAUGGCUCACUGCAGCCUCAACCUCCUGGGCUCAAGCAAUCCUCCUGCCUCAGCUGCCCAAGACUACAUUGAGUCAGACUAAGGAAGUCAUCUGAUCAACUGCUAAUUGUGCAAGAAAUGCCUGACCUAAUUUUAUCAGAUUUAAUGUUUGAAAAAAAAAAACAAAACCCCAAAGUAGCCCUUCUGCAAGAACUGCUAAAAUCGAAGUUUCUGAACCUAGGAAGUGGCCUAAAUGCUGUAUGUGUUUUCUGUGCAAAAAAUGCUCCGCAGCCAUUUCUGCCUAAAGCCAGGCCUUCACACAGGCUGAAUGUCAUUUUACUCUUCAACUUGUUCAUUUGAGCUGUUGAUUCACAAGGGAGUGGGGUGGGUACCAAUCAGAGCAAUAGCAGUUGCAUGGAUGUGUAUAUGUGAGAGUGUGUGUGUGUGUGUGUGUGUGUGUUGGGGGAAGAUAGUGAAGUCUUUUUUCUUUUUUUGGAGACGGAGUUUCACUCCUGUUGCCCACACUGGAGUGCAAUGGUGCAAUCUUGGCUCACUGCAACCUCUGCCUCCCAGGUUCAAGCGAUUCUCCCUCAGGCUACUGAGUAGCUGGGAUUACAGGCAUGUGCCACCACGCCUAAUUUUGUAUUUUUAGUAGAGACAGGGUUUCUCCAUGUUGGUCAAGCUGGUCUUGAACCCCCAACCCCAGGUGAUCCGCCCUUGUGCAGGGAUUACAGGUGUGAACCACCUUGCCCACCUGAUAGUGAAGUUUUAACUAGCUUUACUCUGAAUCUUCCUGGAGAAGAGAAAGGACUGACCACUAAAAAUACAAGAAGAUUAGCUGGGCCUGGUGGCAGGCGCCUGUAGUCCCAGGUACUUGGGAGGCUGAGGCUAGAGAAUCGCUUGAACCUAGGAGGUGGAGGCUGCAGUGAGCUGAGAUUGCGCCACUGCACUCCAGCCUAGGCAACAGAGUGAGACUCCCUCUCAAAAAAAAAAAAAAAAAAAAAAGGA
Callithrix jacchus (white-tufted-ear marmoset) is the source of this 1870-nucleotide long non-coding RNA. RefSeq lists it as uncharacterized. The record is from RefSeq and is a predicted model, not a curated record. Lineage: Eukaryota; Metazoa; Chordata; Mammalia; Primates; Cebidae.